GUGAAACAGAGCGUAACCAUGACUCUCUACAUACUGCUUCUCACAUUAACCUUAUUGCAGGUUAAAGUAACCAGCACUUAUUCAGAAAAUUACAAGGGACCAAACAUGGCCCCAAAAAUUAUAGUAGCUGGAAAGAUAAACAUAUUAGAUGAUGUGACAAUACGCUGUGAAUCCCAGAAUGGAGAUUUUUGUUACUUCUACAAAGACCCUGGAAUAGUUCAUUUCAAGACAGUGGAAUAUAACACACAUUACAAUCUUUGUCAGUUUCAUAUACCUGGAGAACACCUUGUGGAAAAGCUUUCUCUCGAGUCUGACACAGAGGUGUUUUUAAGUUGUGCUGUUGGAUUGAACUCAACUGGACGAAUACAUCUCUCACAGCGCAGUGAGAUGAAGAGGAUGGUGGUAUUGACAGAUCCAUUUGUAGUAAGGAUUACAACGGAGAAAGACAACAUCGCUAUAGAGGAGUCUAUACGAGUUCGAUGUGAGGCACAAAUAGGAACUCGGUGUCAUUUGUACACCAGCCAGAGUGAAAGUCCAAUAAGGACAGAAAUUUU
Molecule: long non-coding RNA, 554 nt
Organism: Scleropages formosus (Asian bonytongue)
Lineage: Eukaryota; Metazoa; Chordata; Actinopteri; Osteoglossiformes; Osteoglossidae
Exons: 4
Source: RefSeq, a predicted model, not a curated record